Molecule: ribosomal RNA, 273 nt
Filed under: uncultured bacterium
Lineage: Bacteria
Description: partial 16S ribosomal RNA
Rfam family: Archaeal small subunit ribosomal RNA
Source: RNAcentral
UACCAGCACCCCGAGUGGUCGGGACGAUUAUUGGGCCUAAAGCAUCCGUAGCCGGUUCUACAAGUCUUCCGUUAAAUCCACCUGCUUAACAGAUGGGCUGCGGAGGAUACUAUGGAGCUAGGAGGCGGGAGAGGCAAGCGGUACUUAGUGGGUAGGGGUAAAAUCCGUUGAUCCAUUGAAGACCACCAGUGGCGAAGGCGGCUUGCCAGAACGCACUCGACGGUGAGGGAUGAAAGCUGGGGGAGCAAACCGGAUUAGAAACCCGCGUAGUCC